Non-coding RNA from Megamonas hypermegale ART12/1, 105 nucleotides. Lineage: Bacteria; Bacillati; Bacillota; Negativicutes; Selenomonadales; Selenomonadaceae. The record is from Rfam.
AACUCAUCAAGAGCAACUGAGGGACUGGCCCAAUGACGUUGCGGCAACCAUUGAGUAUUUAUCAAACGGUGCCAAAUCCUUUAAGUUUUACUUAGAAGAUGAGAG